GCGUUGGUGGUCCAGUGGUAGAAUCCCCGCCUCGUAUGUGGGAGACCCAGGUUCGAUUCCCGGCCAAUGCC
This 71-nucleotide transfer RNA is filed under the name Loxodonta africana (African savanna elephant). RNAcentral describes it as "tRNA-Thr (CGT) (tRNA-Thr-CGT-9-1)". It matches the Rfam family "tRNA". Rfam says of the family: Transfer RNA (tRNA) molecules are approximately 80 nucleotides in length. Their secondary structure includes four short double-helical elements and three loops (D, anti-codon, and T loops). Further hydrogen bonds mediate the characteristic L-shaped molecular structure. tRNAs have two regions of fundamental functional importance: the anti-codon, which is responsible for specific mRNA codon recognition, and the 3' end, to which the tRNAs corresponding amino acid is attached (by aminoacyl-tRNA synthetases). tRNAs cope with the degeneracy of the genetic code in two manners: having more than one tRNA (with a specific anti-codon) for a particular amino acid; and 'wobble' base-pairing, i.e. permitting non-standard base-pairing at the 3rd anti-codon position. The record is from Rfam by way of RNAcentral. Lineage: Eukaryota; Metazoa; Chordata; Mammalia; Proboscidea; Elephantidae.